GAUGAACGCUGGCGGCGUGCCUAAUACAUGCAAGUCGAGCGAACAGACGAGGAGCUUGCUCCUCUGACGUUAGCGGCGGACGGGUGAGUAACACGUGGAUAACCUACCUAUAAGACUGGGAUAACUUCGGGAAACCGGAGCUAAUACCGGAUAAUAUAUUGAACCGCAUGGUUCAAUAGUGAAAGACGGUUUUGCUGUCACUUAUAGAUGGAUCCGCGCCGCAUUAGCUAGUUGGUAAGGUAACGGCUUACCAAGGCAACGAUGCGUAGCCGACCUGAGAGGGUGGUCGGCCACACUGGAACUGAGGCACGGUCCAGACUCCUACGGGAAGACGCAGUAGGGAAUCUUCCGCAAUGGGCGAAAGCCUGACGGAGCAACGCCGCGUGAGUGAUGAAGGUCUUCGGAUCGGAAAACUCUGUUAUUAGGGAAGAACAAAUGUGUAAGUAACCAUGCACGUCUUGACGGUACCUAAUCAGAAAGCCACGGCUAACUACGUG
RNAcentral lists this ribosomal RNA (497 nucleotides) under uncultured bacterium. Its description in RNAcentral is "partial 16S ribosomal RNA". It matches the Rfam family "Bacterial small subunit ribosomal RNA", at positions 28 to 507 of the family's 1533-position model. The record is from RNAcentral.